This 290-nucleotide ribosomal RNA is filed under the name Blastocystis hominis. Its description in RNAcentral is "partial 18S ribosomal RNA". It matches the Rfam family "Eukaryotic small subunit ribosomal RNA", at positions 42 to 349 of the family's 1831-position model. The record is from RNAcentral. Lineage: Eukaryota; Bigyra; Opalinata; Blastocystidae.
GAUUAAGCCAUGCAUGUGUAAGUGUAAAUAUACUAGUUUGGAACUGCGAAUGGCUCAUUAUAUCAGUUAUAGUUUAUUUGGUGAAGUGUACUACUUGGAUAACCGUAGUAAUUCUAGGGCUAAUACAUGAGAAAGUCCUCUGGUGAGGUGUGUUUAUUAGAAUGAAAACCAUAUGCUUCGGCAUGAUAGUGAGUAAUAGUAACCUAUCGUAUCGCAUGCUUAAUGUAGCGAUGAGUCUUUCAAGUUUCUGCCCUAUCAGCUUUCGAUGGUAGUAUAUGGGCCUACCAUGA